Molecule: long non-coding RNA, 983 nt
Organism: Centruroides sculpturatus (bark scorpion)
Lineage: Eukaryota; Metazoa; Arthropoda; Arachnida; Scorpiones; Buthidae
Exons: 3
Source: RefSeq, a predicted model, not a curated record
CAUAUUUGUGUAACGUAAUUGGAAAGUUCUUAUUUAGCAGUUGUUUGUUUUGUGAAAUUUCAGCAAUGCUUCCAGUUGGACGAGAAUAAAAUUCGCAUUAGUCUCCAUUACUUUCAGACGCUCGCCGAUAAACUGAAAGCAGAGAGAGAAUUGCGUGAAGCCAACAGUCUACAGAAUUUGGAGGAAGAGUUGGAAGUCACGAAAAGAGCCGUCAUGGAAAUGAGACAGUGUAGAACAUCUCUUUAAAAAAGAGGGAGAUCACGGACAUCGACGACGACGGAGAAUUGCCAGAAAAAUGUGAAGAAGUCGUUCAUCAAUAUCGGCGGAAACGUAACUACAUAAAACAACUGGAGAAGGACGUGACCGAAAAACAGAACAAACUAGAUCAGCUGAAGGACAAAAUAGAAGAAAUUAAGAAGUGUUGGCUUCCUCAUUUGGAAGAUUUGAUAAGUACAAUAAACAAUAACUUCAGUCAUUUCGGGUCCAUGAUUCUAUCCACAGAUAUGACUAAUGGCUCAAUCAUCACGGUGAUUAUGUCGAAAAGUAACCAUGUUUGUACCUAACUUUUGGUAAUAAAUUCAUUUUGUUAUUUACACUUGUCUUUGUUUUAUAGACCAUUAGAGGUUGGGAAAAAAUCGCCCUCAUAACUUGUAUCUUCAGUCUGAAGAUACAAGUUAAUAUUUAAAAAGUAAGCUACCUUAAAUCUACGACUCCUCAUUACUUUCUGUUAAUUUCGUCUUCCCAAUAAAUUCCCAAACUUUUUGACCGAUCUGGGCCAAAUUUUGCGUAGUAAGUCUUUACAAUUCUCCAAAAAUAUACGCUACUUUAAAACUCGGAACCUCACUUAUUUUCCCGAUUUCAUCACCACCCAAAUUGCCAAAUCAUUGGACUGAUUUUCACCAAAUUUUACAUAGUUACUCUCUGCCACUUUGCGAGAAAUAUACGCUACCCUAAAACGAUGACAACUCAACUCCUUCAGUGAA